AAGACACGUGCAGACGAGACUGGUUGAGCCUCGAGCUUCAUCACUCAACAGCGGGGACUGCUUCCUCCUGCUCUCUCCCCAUUACUGUUUCCUGUGGGUAGGAGAGUUUGCAAAUGUCAUAGAAAAGGCGAAGGCCUCAGAACUUGCAACUUUAAUCCAGACAAAGAGGGAACUGGGUUGUAGAGCUACUUACAUCCAAACUAUCGAAGAAGGGAUUAAUACACAUACUCAUGCAGCCAAAGACUUCUGGAAGCUUCUGGGUGGCCAAACCAGUUAUCAGUCUGCUGGAGACCCGAAAGAAGAUGAGCUGUAUGAAACAGCCAUAAUAGAAACAAACUGCACUUACCGUCUGAUGGAUGACAAGCUUGUUCCCGAUGACGACUUCUGGGGGAAAAUCCCAAAGUGCUCCCUUCUGCAAUCAAAAG
Molecule: long non-coding RNA, 425 nt
Organism: Pteropus alecto (black flying fox)
Lineage: Eukaryota; Metazoa; Chordata; Mammalia; Chiroptera; Pteropodidae
Exons: 3
Source: RefSeq, a predicted model, not a curated record